CAUUACUCAGUCAUUCAGCUGGAGGAGAGUGACGCCUCGGUCCGGAUCGCUGCCGUCUCCACGAGAUAAACUCUCCUGUUGGGUUCAUGAAGGAAGAAUCAUCUACUUUGGUGGAUAUGGAGUGAAAUCAACAAUCAGAAGAGCUUCAUUGUGGAUGAAGCCGAGGACAUCUUCUGGGGAUGGAACAAUGAAGUUCAUGAGUUUGAUCCAGAAAGAAGCAGCUGGACCGAACCGCAGACCUUCGUGAAUCAUUCAAACCUCAUUCAGCUUCGUGAAUCAAAUGUUUUCAAUUCAGUCAUGUGUUUCCAGCUGUACAAAGUUAGGAAUUAAAUGAGUAUGUGUUUAAAUCAGUCUAUGAAGUGUGUUUGUGAAUGAUUGACAGGGACGAGCUCCUCUCUACGAUCGGCAGCGAAGGCUGUGUGUGCGGUGGAAGAAUAAAGGUGAUUUAGAGACUCCCUUAAAAUCAUUUGUCCUGCAUUCAUACAGACAACUUA
Molecule: long non-coding RNA, 494 nt
Organism: Cyprinus carpio (common carp)
Lineage: Eukaryota; Metazoa; Chordata; Actinopteri; Cypriniformes; Cyprinidae
Exons: 3
Source: RefSeq, a predicted model, not a curated record